Non-coding RNA from Paramuricea clavata, 251 nucleotides. Lineage: Eukaryota; Metazoa; Cnidaria; Anthozoa; Malacalcyonacea; Plexauridae. The record is from the annotation of a GenBank genome assembly.
CUACGAGGCAUCAGUAUAGUGACUUAGCAUUAAUAGAUUAAAUUGUCAUAUUGUUAAAUGUAGCUCUCUAUUCUAUUGGAUACGCAGAUACGCAGUCAAGUAGUUAUUUUGUGAACGAGGCAUACAGUUAGAUUUCAAGCAUUAGAUCAAAUUCUCAUGCUAUAGGUAGCUCUAUAUUUUAGUGGAUACGCGAAUGCGUGGCAGUAAUUAGUAGCAGUAAUAGAUUAAAUUGUCAUGCUAUAGAGAGCUUA